RNAcentral lists this non-coding RNA (30 nucleotides) under Rattus norvegicus (Norway rat). Lineage: Eukaryota; Metazoa; Chordata; Mammalia; Rodentia; Muridae. The record is from RNAcentral.
UGUAAGAAUUUGGUGCAUCAGGUUUCCGGU